GCUCUCUCUCUCUCUCUCCUGCUCCACCAUGGUAAGAUGUGCUUGCUUCCCCUUCACUUUCCGACUUGAUCGACCUUCAAGUACAUGCUCCAUUGAACUCUCUGAAUUUAGCUGGCUAACAAAGAAAGAGAAGAUGGAGAAGGCACAACCAUUCUAAACUGCCUUGACAUGGAGGUGACACCAAUUUUAUUGUAGGAAUAAGUGACAUGACUGUAUCUAAUUGCAAGGGCCUGGGAAGCACAACUAACCAUGCACCAAAGAACACAAGAACACAGGUGGCUUGGGUCAUGUGCUACAGCUUCCCUGUGAUCACCUUGCUUCUGAAAUAUCUGAAAAUGGCUUUCUCUUCUUCAUUCAUUUCUACAUCUUCAUUCAUUCUCCCAGGUCUUGUAAUGGUUGUGCACAUAGAUAGAAGAGACUUGCCUUGUCUCAGAUGAGAUUUUGGAUGUUUGAGUUAACACUGGAAUGAGUUAAGACUUUGGGGUACUGUCAGGAAGGCAUGAUUGUAUUUUGCAAGGUGAGAAGAAUAUGUAAUUUGAGAGGGACUAGGGACAGAAUGAUAUAGUUUGGAUCUGUAUCCCCACCCAAAUCUUAUGUUGAAUUGUAAUCCCCAAUAUUGGAGGUAGGGCCUGGUGGAAGGUGUUUUGAUCAUGGGAGUGGAUGCCUCAUGGCUUGGUGUUGUCUUUACAAUAGGGGGUUAGUUCUCAUGCGAUCUGGUUGUUUAAAAGUGUGUGGCAUCUGCCCCUCCACCUCUCUCCUUCUUCCUCGUGCUUUCACCAUGUGAUGUGCCUUCUCCCUCUUCACCUUCUGCAAUGAUUGUAAGCUUUAUGAGACAUCCCCAGAAGUUAAGCAGAUGCCAGCACCAUACUGCCUGUAAAGCCUACAGAACUGUGACCCAAUUAAACCUCUUUUCUUUAUAAAUUA
RNAcentral lists this long non-coding RNA (924 nucleotides) under Pongo abelii (Sumatran orangutan). RNAcentral describes it as "lincRNA". Lineage: Eukaryota; Metazoa; Chordata; Mammalia; Primates; Hominidae. The record is from RNAcentral.